Molecule: ribosomal RNA, 1152 nt
Filed under: Triticum aestivum (bread wheat)
Lineage: Eukaryota; Viridiplantae; Streptophyta; Magnoliopsida; Poales; Poaceae
Description: partial small subunit ribosomal RNA
Source: RNAcentral
AUGAAUAGAACGGGCCGACUUGACCUGAUCAACUCAGUCCUCACUGCCACCAUCACCUAUUUCCUCACGUCUUUCUCCCCCAGCAGAUGGUUCACUACCAAAUUUGAUAAGCUAAGGAGAAAUUUCCUUUGGAACGCCGAUGAGGAGGCGCAUGGGGGAAAAUGUCUGGUUAACUGGAAGAGAAUCUGUGCACCUUUAAGCGUGGGUGGCCUGGGCAUCAAGGAUAUCAAUGCUUUUGGCCGGGCUCUUCGGCUUCGAUGGCCUUGGUAUGAAUGGGAUAGCUCGGACAGGCCAUGGAAAGGGACCCCGGUGCCUUGCAAUCAACCUGACCUUAAUCUUUUUGCGGCAUGCACUUCGAUUUCUCUGGGAGAUGGCCGUUUUAUGAAAUUCUGGAGUCAUAGAUGGUUAGAGGGCCAAGCUCCAAAAGAUUGGGCUCCUGAUCUUUUUCGGAUGGCAAGGUCCAAAGGGCUCACUGUCAGUCAGGCUCUUGAUGGAGACGCAUGGAUGAGAGGACUGCAGAAUAUCAACUCUGCUGGGCUGAUGAACUUUUUUAUUAGCCUCUGGAUGAAAUUACAGAAUGUUUCCUUGCUCUCUAGACCUGACACAAUCACUUGGAAGCUAACGGCUAGCGGACAAUACACGGCAAAAUCGGCUUACCAAGUUCAGUUCUUGACGCGUAUCCCUCAACCACACCUGCAGCAGGUCUGGAAGAUUACAGCUGAAAAGAAAGUAAAGUUCUUCAUCUGGACCCUCCUUCAGAAUAGACUUUGGACCGGUGAUCGACUGCAAGCGAGAAACUGGGACCACAAUGACUUGUGUGCUGGUUGCGAUCAAGUGCUGGAAUCCGCACAUCACUUGAUUCUUGACUGCCCUUUUGCCAAAGAAAUAUGGUUCAAGACCAGCUCCUUCUUCCCGCUUGCAUCCCAGGCUGCUCGGCAUGCUUCAUCUAUCUCAGCUUGGUGGAACAGAGUGGCAAAGCUAAAGAAAAAAGGACGCCAACUGGACGAAUGCACAGCGGCAGUUUACAUCGCUUGGAAUAUUUGGCUCAAGAGAAACAGAAGGAUCUUUAAGGAUUCAGCGCAACCGUCAACAGAUGUUCUUGUUAGAGCUAGAGAUGACAUUAGCCUCCUUUCGGAGGCAUGGGAGGAGUAG